Molecule: ribosomal RNA, 481 nt
Filed under: uncultured bacterium
Lineage: Bacteria
Description: partial 16S ribosomal RNA
Rfam family: Bacterial small subunit ribosomal RNA
Source: RNAcentral
GAUGAACGCUGGCGGCGUGCUUAACACAUGCAAGUCGAACGAAGCACUCUAUUUGAUUUCCUUCGGGACUGAUUAUUUUGUGACUGAGUGGCGGACGGGUGAGUAACGCGUGGGUAACCUGCCUUGUACAGGGGGAUAACAGUUGGAAACGGCUGCUAAUACCGCAUAAGCGCCCAGCAUCGCAUGAUGCAGUGUGAAAAACUACGGUGGUAUAAGAUGGACCCGCGUUGGAUUAGCUAGUUGGUGAGGUAACGGCCCACCAAGGCGACGAUCCAUAGCCGAUCUGAGAGGGUGACCAGCCACAUUGGGACUGAGACACGGCCCAGACUCCUACGGGAGGCAGCAGUGGGGAAUAUUGCACAAUGGGCGAAAGCCUGAUGCAGCGACGCCGCGUGAGCGAAGAAGUAUUUCGGGAUGUAAAGCUCUAUCAGCAGGGAAGAUAAUGACGGUACCUGAAUAAGAAGCACCGGCUAAAUACGUG